Molecule: RNase P RNA, 399 nt
Filed under: Hyphomicrobiales bacterium
Lineage: Bacteria; Pseudomonadati; Pseudomonadota; Alphaproteobacteria; Hyphomicrobiales
Description: RNase P RNA component class A
Rfam family: Bacterial RNase P class A
About the family: Ribonuclease P (RNase P) is a ubiquitous endoribonuclease, found in archaea, bacteria and eukarya as well as chloroplasts and mitochondria. Its best characterised activity is the generation of mature 5'-ends of tRNAs by cleaving the 5'-leader elements of precursor-tRNAs.
Source: RNAcentral
UCAGUCGGCUGGAUGGCCGCUGCCUUUCUGGCAGAGGAAAGUCCGGGCUCCAUGGAACAACGGUGCCGGAUAACGUCCGGCGGGGGCGACCCCAGGGAAAGUGCCACAGAAAACAAACCACUCCGGCCGCGCUCGCGCUGCCGGAGCCAGGGUGAAAUGGUGCGGCAAGAGCGCACCGCGCGGCCAGCAAUGGCAUCGGCAUGGCAAACCCCACCGGGAGCAAAACCGCAUAGGGAUGAUCGAGGCAUGGCGACAUGGCUCAGGCCUUGUUUCAGGCUUUCAUCCGGGUUGGUUGCUUGAGGCCGGCGGCAACGCCGGUCCCAGAGGAAUGGCCAUCACGUCGCAGCUCUGCAAGGAGAGGCGGCCAUACAGAACCCGGCUUACAGGCCGACUGGCAAU